RNAcentral lists this ribosomal RNA (461 nucleotides) under uncultured bacterium. RNAcentral describes it as "partial 16S ribosomal RNA". It matches the Rfam family "Bacterial small subunit ribosomal RNA", at positions 338 to 796 of the family's 1533-position model. The record is from RNAcentral.
CCUACGGGAGGCUGCAGGGAGGAAUAUUGGUCAAUGGACGAGAGUCUGAACCAGCCAAGUAGCGUGAAGGAUGACUGCCCUAUGGGUUGUAAACUUCUUUUAUAAAGGAAUAAAACGAGGCACGUGUGCCUUUUUGCAUGUACUUUAUGAAUAAGGAUCGGCUAACUCCGUGCCAGCAGCCGCGGUAAUACGGAGGAUCCGAGCGUUAUCCGGAUUGAUUGGGUUUAAAGGGAGCGUAGAUGGGUUGUUAAGUCAGUUGUGAAAGUUUGCGGCUCAACCGUAAAAUUGCAAUUGAUACUGGCAGUCUUGAGUACAGUUGAGGUAGGCGGAAUUCGUGGUGUAGCGGUGAAAUGCUUAGAUAUCACGAAGAACCCCGAUUGCGAAGGCAGCUUACUAAACUGUGACUGACAUUGAUGCUCGAAAGUGUGGGUAUCAAACAGGAUUAGAUACCCUUGUAGUCC